CCUACGGGUGGCAGCAGUGGGGAAUAUUGCGCAAUGGGCGAAAGCCUGACGCAGCGACGCCGCGUGAGGGAUGACGGUCUUCGGAUCGUAAACCUCUGUCAGCAGGGAAGAACGGUCACUGUGCUAAUCAGCAGUGAAUUGACGGUACCUGCAAAGGAAGCACCGGCUAACUCCGUGCCAGCAGCCGCGGUAAUACGGAUGGUGCGAGCGUUAAUCGGAAUUACUGGGCGUAAAGCGCUCGUAGGCGGUAUGUCAAGUCAAUGGUGAAAUCCCCGCGCGCAACGUGGGAACUGCCUUUGAAACUGGCAAACUGGAGUGUGUGUGAGGAUAGUGGAAUUCCAGGUGUAGGAGUGAAAGCCGUAGAUAUCUGGAGGAACAUCAGUGGCGAAGGCGACUAUCUGGCACAUAACUGACGCUGAGGAGCGAAAGCGUGGGUAGCAAACAGGAUUAGAUACCCCUGUAGUC
Molecule: ribosomal RNA, 465 nt
Filed under: uncultured bacterium
Lineage: Bacteria
Description: partial 16S ribosomal RNA
Rfam family: Bacterial small subunit ribosomal RNA
Source: RNAcentral